Long non-coding RNA from Felis catus (domestic cat), 3344 nucleotides. RefSeq lists it as uncharacterized. Lineage: Eukaryota; Metazoa; Chordata; Mammalia; Carnivora; Felidae. The transcript is spliced from 2 exons. The record is from RefSeq and is a predicted model, not a curated record.
CACUUGUUUUGCAUAUGCAUAAGCCUGUCGGCCAAUGGCGUCCCUGCUCUGGCUGCCAGAGAAGCUGGGCGGUUGGGCAGCGGACACGUGGUGCGCCUGCGCACAGCGCUGCCCCACGUCGGGCUGGCUCCGUUUUGCCCCGCCAGGUGCAGAGCCGGAGAGCGACCGGAGUCCCCUGAUCCUAGGUCCCGAGUUUGGGGUCCGGGGCGGGCGGGAAGGCGGGAGCGCGAGCGGGACAGCGGCUGCCUAGUGUCCGGUUUGCAGGGCAGGGUUAAGGAGUACUGAGGCCGUGCAGUUUGACAGAAGACCUUUUUUGAAUCUUGCGAUCUGUAUUGAUUCCAGUGGAUUAAAAGGCAUCCCAAGGGAGAGACCUUGGGGACCAAGGAAGAAGCCUAGGGGUUCAUUACCAAGAAUCCCCCCUGGCCCGACUCCCGGGUGACGUCUCGUGCGGAAUAUGUUACAGGUUCCCGGUGUCAGAGCGACUGGAGGGGUCCCUCAAACAAAAUCACUGUGAUCACUGGGCAGCUGAAAAGGCCCCCCUCUCCCCGACGCAUGCUAGACUGCAAAAUGGGUGUCUGCACAUGGACCAAAACACUGCGCUGCGCCUUGCCAUGAAGGCCGUGCCAUUUUUCACCCAUGGCAAACACCAGAAGAGCUUUAUAAGGGGAAAUUAUCCAAUUUUGUAAUUUUAGUAGUCAGUAGGGGACACUGAUGAAAAAAUAGUAAAGAGCGAAAUCCAUCACAGUGUAAGCAACAUUCCAGCAUAUGUAGACUUUUACAGCGAACUUCUCUAGGAAGCCAUCCCCAGUGGGGCUUUGAUUCAAUCGAGUGCUGGUUUCGGCCCACCCUGAGCCUAAGUCUUGCAGCCAGAAGCGGCUAGACCAGGGAUGUGGAGGGGAUCACAUUAGACCAAUGAGGAGGAAACUUCACGUGAGAGUCUUUAAGAUUAGCAGCCAUCCUGGGGACUUAGGUGGCUGUCCUAACUCCCAAAAGACAACUCUAUAUAAGAAUAGGAAUAAAGAGGGGCACCUGGGUGGGUCAGUUGGUUAAGCGUCUGACCCUUGGUUUUGGCCAAGGUCAUGAUCUCACAGUUUGUGAGUUUGAACCCCGAUUUCUCUCUCCCUCUCUACCCCUCCUGUCUCUCUCUUGCUCUCUUUCUCACUCACAAGAUAAACAUUAAAAAUAAAAAAAAAAAAAUAGGAAUAAAGAGAGGGCAUCGAGUUUCUGGGUCUUCUUACCAUUCCGGCCAGGGGACUAACUUCCAGCUUCCUCCUCCCUGUAGAGCAGCCAUUGGCUAGAGGAUUGCAGCCUGAGCAAUUGACACGAAAGUGUCCCAAUAAGAAGGAGUGAAUGACUACAUACUUUUUAAUUACUGAGGGUUAUGGACAGUGCAGUCUCUAAGGAAUUUGGAAGCAAGGCUUUCAGGACCUUGAGGGGCUAGCUGCUGUUAAGAUAAGGUUACUUUUAGCCUGUAAUAAGACAUAAAUAUUAAGGCACUAAUGCAGCCAUGAAUUCCUCGAGGAAGGUCACCUUUGGCAUGUUUCAGGUGUCUGUCAGUGGGCAGCAAGCUGUAAGGAGAUUUUAAUUUAAGCCACAUUUCUCUUGCCUUUGUUUCCCUCAUCAGCAUAGGGUUAGUUUUUCUUGGUAGUUGUCUUAUUCAUUUAAAAUAUAAUUGUUUUUCAUUAUUUGAGUUUCAAUUCUAUUUUACAGGUUUGCACCGGACCCUGUUGAUUAGAUCCUUUGUUAGCCUUAAAAAAUUACACUGCCAGUUACUUUACCAGCAAAAAAAUGGUUUUAUUUGGGAAUAGCAGAGAAUUGCAAUCCAGCAUGCAAUUGCAGACAGCAAGGCAGAGGAAAGCCGGGCAGAGGUUCCUUCAUAGAGCGCAGAGGGAGCUGGGAUAGGCUGUUAACUUCACUGGAAUAAGAGCUUGAAGUGUAGUGGCUUCUCAUUGGCUGGCCUGUGACAGUCUCUCAUUGGCUGAGCUGUGAGAGGCUCUCAUUGGUUAGCUUGUGACUGUUUCUCAUUGGCUGGGCUGCUAGCAUAUGACUGUUUCUCAUUGGCUGGGCUGUGACUGUUUCUCACUGGCUGAGCUGUGAGAGGCUCUCAUCGGCUGGACUGUUGCUGGGUAGUAGGAAGCUUUCCUUCCUCCCACCGAGGCAGUGAAGAGUAGCAUCCUCCUGCAAGGCCGGCCUUCUCCUGCGGGGUGCUGCCCGGGUCAAGGAGAGUUCUAGGAUGUGACCACCAGGGCACUUGUCCACUGUCCGCCACACCUGGACCUGGAGUUCUGAAAGAUGCGUGAAGACUGCCUGCGUGCCUGGUAAGACCUCCUGAUCAGGGUCCGGGAUGCCCACCGAGACCCGGACUGCUCUCCUGCCUCCUGGCCCCUGGGCAGGGGGAGCCCCGUGGGUCACAGUGCCGGGUUCGGCAAGAAGCCCUCCCUUGGGCACCAGGACCCCUGCCCUCAGAACCCAGAGCUGCCUGAGGAGAGCACACUGACCGAGGACAUGGGGUUCAGUGUCCCUCCCCCACCCCCAGCACUGGAAACCAGCCCGCAUGGGGCUCCUUGUGCCCUGGAGGGAAGCAUGGGGCCGGUGAAGAGCUACCCAGGAAGUGAGCCAAGGGUGCGGUGAGCCGUAGGGGAGGCUGCUGACCUAGGGGCCCGGAGGUCCACGGAAGAGAGCCGUCAGGGGAAGGGAAGGGCUCGGGACCCCGCCAGGGACUGAGAGAGCAGGGGGGCAUGGACCCUGGUUCCCCAAGGUUGAGGUGCAGCUCCAACAUCAGGGCUCCUUCAAGGAGAUGCCUGCCUGUCCCCACCCCCCACCCCCAGUUCACCUGCAGAGAAAGGACCCACCAGGCCAGCAAGGCCCCAGCCUCCUGCCGGCCAGAGGGAAGGGUGCUGGUGGCAGAAAACAGCUCCUCCCGAUGGACGCAGGGUUGCUGGCCUGAGUGGCCCUGCUCCGCUCCCUCGAGACCCUGGGCGGAGGCAGGAGCCGAGGGGAUAGAGGUGGAGGCAGAGACAGACGCAGGGGUGAAGUGGUCACGGGGGUGGGGUUUGCAGAGGGGGAGCAGGCUCAGGCCUUCGGUGGGCAGCCACUGAGGACUCAGGGCCGUGUGCGCUGCAGGAGAAGGGAGGGACGGGGAGGGGCUUGCGAGGGCUGGGAGGUGGGCCCGGCAGCCAGGACCUGGUGAUGCUGUGUGUUGAGUCCCUCUGAGCAGGGACCAGCCUGUCCUAACCUGUCCCAUGGCUUCCCUCUGGAAACCUCUAACUCGUUCAACCCCCAGACUGGCAAAGGGGGGGCCACUCUCAGCACAAAAUAAACACAGCAGUUAAAGAGCCCGUGAA